GAGCUAAUACCGCAUACGCCCUACGGGGGAAAGCGGGGGAUCUUCGGACCUCGUGCUAUUAGAUGCGCCUGCGUAAGAUUAGCUAGUUGGUGGGGUAAAGGCCUACCAAGGCGACGAUCUUUAGCUGGUCUGAGAGGAUGAUCAGCCACACCGGGACUGAGACACGGCCCGGACUCCUACGGGAGGCAGCAGUCGGGAAUAUUGCGCAAUGGGCGAAAGCCUGACGCAGCCAUGCCGCGUGUGUGAAGAAGGCCCUAGGGUUGUAAAGCACUUUCAAUUGGGAGGAAAAGCUAAUGGUUAAUAGCCAUUAGCCCUGACGUUACCUUUAGAAGAAGCACCGGCUAACUCCGUGCCAGCAGCCGCGGUAAUACGGAGGGUGCAAGCGUUAAUCGGAAUUACUGGGCGUAAAGCGCGCGUAGGCGGCUCUUUAAGUCGGAUGUGAAAGCCCCGGGCUCAACCUGGGAACUGCAUCCGAUACUGGGGAGCUAGAGUGUAGGAGAGGGAGGUAGAAUUCCAUGUGUAGCAGUGAAAUGCGUAGAUAUAUGGAGGAAUACCAGUGGCGAAGGCGGCCUCCUGGNUUAACACUGACGCCGAGGUGCGAAAGCGUGGGGAGCAAACGGGAUUAGAUACCCCGGUAGUCCACGCCGUAAACGAUGUCUACUAGCUGUAGGGGUACUUGAG
This 681-nucleotide ribosomal RNA is filed under the name uncultured Gammaproteobacteria bacterium. RNAcentral's name for it is "bacterial SSU rRNA". It matches the Rfam family "Bacterial small subunit ribosomal RNA", at positions 160 to 836 of the family's 1533-position model. The record is from RNAcentral. Lineage: Bacteria; Pseudomonadati; Pseudomonadota; Gammaproteobacteria.